UCAUGCCCUGUAACAAGCUGUCCUGAGAUUAUACUAAAUAUUUUUCAAUAGUAGCAACUGUUAACUUCCAAAUUACAGAAAUUGCUGUACUUUGAAGGUUAACAGUUGUGAAAGAUACUGUAUAAAUAUUGAAGUGUUAAUGUUUUGUGUUGUAUUUUCUUUGUUGAUUUAUUUUGGAGUUUUAUGAAUUAUUUGAAUGUUACUUUUAGAGAUACUUUCCAAAGCUGUGCUAUACCAGGCACCUUGGGAGUGAUUCCUGCUAAAGAAAGGCAGCUAAAAAGUACUCAGCCAGUGCAGACACAUUCUGUGAGAAAACAGGGGAGAAAAGGGUGCUGAUAAGGGUGCUGAUAAGUGUGCUGUUCACUCCUCCCACCUCUUUGUUCUCAAAGGAAUUGAAAUCCAAUGACCCUGUGCCACUGGUGGGAUAGAGAAGAAUAUGGAGAGAGAAGGUCUAAAAUUCUGGAGAUUCAUGAAAGGGAAGAAAAA
Pezoporus flaviventris is the source of this 486-nucleotide long non-coding RNA. RefSeq lists it as uncharacterized. The transcript is spliced from 2 exons. The record is from RefSeq and is a predicted model, not a curated record. NCBI's taxonomy places the organism in Eukaryota, Metazoa, Chordata, Aves, Psittaciformes, Psittacidae.